This is a long non-coding RNA of Sus scrofa (pig), 882 nucleotides long. RefSeq lists it as uncharacterized. The record is from RefSeq and is a predicted model, not a curated record. NCBI's taxonomy places the organism in Eukaryota, Metazoa, Chordata, Mammalia, Artiodactyla, Suidae.
GUGGCCCAGCCCCUCCUCCUCUCACCUGCCCAGCAAUGGCGCCUUGCUUCUCCCAUAGGCCCAGGCCUCCCUGGCUGUGGUGCGCUACUUCCUGGCCCCUCAGGGUGUUUCUGCACAGGCCGACCCUAGUCCUCUUUCCAGAAAUGAUCUCCAAAGACGCUGUGUUUGUGGUGCCCCAGGCAGUGGUACGGAUUGUCUGUGCGGCUCUCUCUGGGCUUUGCCCUCAGACCAGUUGCUGCACUUUUCUCCAAAGCUUUGAGGUUCCACCUCCAUCCCAGCUGAUCUGUCAGGAAUUUUUAAUGAAUGUGAUCCCGGAAGAAGAAAGAUGAUCUCUGAGGAAAAUCUGAGAAGUGAGAAGACAGCCAGCUCUUGAAAAUGGAAGACCAUUGGGAUUUCCAUCCCAUGGGCUGUGAGAUUCAUGAGGUUUUGAAAAAGCAUCCCAAAAGUUUUCUUGACUAGCUGAGUUGAUUCAACUGGGUCAGAUCUUGGUGUGGCCAAAGAAAAUGAGAACUGAGAUUAAUACACUACGUUUGUUUACAUAAUGGUCACUAGAUAUCUUGAUAAAUGUUUCAGUGAACAGAAGUUUCAUUGGAGUGAAUUUCGUAAACAUGAAAAAUUGGCUCUAGGCAAUAGUUUUGAGGAGAUUUUUCUGUAAAAGCAAAAAAUGAUGGGUGUAUAGCAGGAGUAAUACAUGGGGUCAGGGGAGCUACUAUUUAAUAUGAGGAUGGGAGAGAAUUAACCAAGAUUAUAAUCUAGCAGAGAGAGGAUAAUUUGUUACAGAAGAGGCAAGAGCUUCCUGUCUAUCUUAAUAUAAGAAUAUUGGAAGAGGAGUUCCCACUGUUGCUCAGCAGGUUAAGAAUGAUGUUUUCUCUAUGAGGAUGA